UACGUAGGGGGCAAGCGUUGUCCGGAUUUAUUGGGCGUAAAGAGCGUGUAGGCGGCUGGGUAGGUCCGUUGUGAAAACUCGAGGCUCAACCUCGAGACGCCGAUGGAAACCCUCCAGCUAGAGUCCGGAAGAGGAGAGUGGAAUUCCUGGUGUAGCGGUGAAAUGCGCAGAUAUCAGGAAGAACACCCGUGGCUAAGGCGGCUCUCUGGUACGGUACUGACGCUGAGACGCGAAAGCGUGGGGAGCGAACAGG
Molecule: ribosomal RNA, 253 nt
Filed under: uncultured bacterium
Lineage: Bacteria
Description: partial 16S ribosomal RNA
Rfam family: Bacterial small subunit ribosomal RNA
Source: RNAcentral